AACGAACGCUGGCGGCAUGCCUAACACAUGCAAGUCGAACGAGACCUUCGGGUCUAGUGGCGCACGGGUGCGUAACACGUGGGAAUUUGCCUCGGGGUAUGGAAUAACUCAGGGAAACUUGAGCUAAUACCAUAUAAUGUCUUCGGACCAAAGAUUUAUCGCCCUGAGAUAAGCCCGCGUAGGAUUAGCUAGUUGGUGAGGUAAAGGCUCACCAAGGCGACGAUCCUUAGCUGGUCUGAGAGGAUGAUCAGCCACACUGGGACUGAGACACGGCCCAGACUCCUACGGGAGGCAGCAG
This 298-nucleotide ribosomal RNA is filed under the name uncultured bacterium. Its description in RNAcentral is "partial 16S ribosomal RNA". It matches the Rfam family "Bacterial small subunit ribosomal RNA", at positions 29 to 354 of the family's 1533-position model. The record is from RNAcentral.